AACGAACGCUGGCGGCGUGCCUAAUACAUGCAAGUCGAGCGAGAAAGUCUCUUCGGAGGCGAGUAAAGCGGCGCACGGGUGAGUAACACGUGGGCAAUCUGCCCUCGAGUCUGGGAUAACCCGGGGAAACUCGGGCUAAUACCGGAUACGGCUUCGGGGUCUUUGGACCCUGUGGAGAAAGAUGGCCUCUUCAAGAAUGCUAUCUCUCGAGGAUGAGCCCGCGUCCUAUUAGCUAGUUGGUGGGGUAAUG
This 250-nucleotide ribosomal RNA is filed under the name uncultured bacterium. Its description in RNAcentral is "partial 16S ribosomal RNA". It matches the Rfam family "Bacterial small subunit ribosomal RNA", at positions 29 to 262 of the family's 1533-position model. The record is from RNAcentral.